AUUGAACGCUGGCGGCAGGCCUAACACAUGCAAGUCGAACGGUAACAGGAAGCAGCUUGCUGCUUCGCUGACGAGUGGCGGACGGGUGAGUCAUGUCUGGGAAACUGCCUGAUGGAGGGGGAUAACUACUGGAAACGGUAGCUAAUACCGCAUAACGUCGCAAGCCCAAAGAGGGGGACCUUAUGGCCUCUUGCCAUCGGAUGUGCCCAGAUGGGAUUAGCUAGUAGGUGGGGUAACGGCUCACCUAGGCGACGAUCCCUAGCUGGUCUGAGAGGAUGACCAGCCACACUGGAACUGAGACACGGUCCAGACUCCUACGGGAGGCAGCAGUGGGGAAUAUUGCACAAUGGGCGCAAGCCUGAUGCAGCCAUGCCGCGUGUAUGAAGAAGGCCUUCGGGUUGUAAAGUACUUUCAGCGGGGAGGAAGGGAGUAAAGUUAAUACCUUUGCUCAUUGACGUUACCCGCAGAAGAAGCACCGGCUAACUCCGUG
Molecule: ribosomal RNA, 490 nt
Filed under: uncultured bacterium
Lineage: Bacteria
Description: partial 16S ribosomal RNA
Rfam family: Bacterial small subunit ribosomal RNA
Source: RNAcentral